GGGUGCGAUCAUACCAGCACUAAAGCACCGGAUCCCAUCAGAACUCCGCAGUUAAGCGUGCUUGGGCGAGAGUAGUACUGGGAUGGGUGACCUCCUGGGAAGUCCUCGUGUUGCACCCC
Molecule: ribosomal RNA, 119 nt
Organism: Zostera marina
Lineage: Eukaryota; Viridiplantae; Streptophyta; Magnoliopsida; Alismatales; Zosteraceae
Source: Rfam